GCCCUGGUGGUCUAGUCAGGAUAUGAUUCAGGACUGCGGAUCCUGAGGUCGCGGGUUCAAAUCCCGCCCAGGGCA
Molecule: transfer RNA, 75 nt
Filed under: Methanotorris igneus Kol 5
Lineage: Archaea; Methanobacteriati; Methanobacteriota; Methanococci; Methanococcales; Methanocaldococcaceae
Rfam family: tRNA
About the family: Transfer RNA (tRNA) molecules are approximately 80 nucleotides in length. Their secondary structure includes four short double-helical elements and three loops (D, anti-codon, and T loops).
Source: Rfam by way of RNAcentral